Molecule: long non-coding RNA, 472 nt
Filed under: Ananas comosus (pineapple)
Lineage: Eukaryota; Viridiplantae; Streptophyta; Magnoliopsida; Poales; Bromeliaceae
Description: long non-coding RNA (ACOM_LNC014507)
Source: RNAcentral
GGGCCUUUUUUAAGUGUUGUUUAUAAAAGAAACUUAGGUUUAGUUUGAUAUUAAAGUCCAGCUGACGCUAUUAGAUAAAAUAGAGUUGGGAUAAAAGUAUAUAUGGAUAUGCUUCUGCGUUUUUAGAUGGAACCGUAGAAAAUAUAUUAUAACCGACUCAUCGUGAUAUGCGAAACGUAAUAUUAUGUACGAAAACAAAUCGAGUAUUUUUUCAUCGUACUUUUUCACCGCACAUAACGCAAUCUUUUCGCAAUCUUUUCGCAAUCUCAAACAAAGCCUAACUAAUAAUUAAACUAUGGCCUUAGCACCAAUCUUCCCUAGCUCAAGUGACAGAGAGCUUGAUGGUGGGUACUCGAGAUUCCAAGUUCGAAUCCUAGUUGAUUUAUAUUUCUAGCAAAAUUUAUUUCUAAAAAAAAUAAACGAAACAGAUAACAUAUAUACUACUUUUUCUCUCCCAAAAAAAAAAAACUAU